ACGCUCGACACCUACGGGAAGCAGCAGUGAGGGAUAUUGGUCAAUGGGGGAAACCCUGAACCAGCAACGCCGCGUGAGGGAUGACGGUCUUCGGAUUGUAAACCUCUGUCCUCUGUGAAGAUAAUGACGGUAGCAGAGGAGGAAGCUCCGGCUAACUACGUGCCAANGCCGCCGGUAAGUACUGAGCGGGCGUGGCGAAGGACG
Molecule: ribosomal RNA, 204 nt
Filed under: uncultured bacterium
Lineage: Bacteria
Description: partial 16S ribosomal RNA
Rfam family: Bacterial small subunit ribosomal RNA
Source: RNAcentral